Molecule: long non-coding RNA, 227 nt
Filed under: Aotus nancymaae (Ma's night monkey)
Lineage: Eukaryota; Metazoa; Chordata; Mammalia; Primates; Aotidae
Description: lncRNA (ENSANAG00000039297.1)
Source: RNAcentral
GCACAGGGCCAAGGCAGAGCCCACCCACCCCCAUCCAGCCCACAUUUGUCUCUUUUGAACAUUCUAGACUGUCAAGGAGCCAGCACCUGUGCAGAAGCCGGAAAAGCCUGGGGUGGCCAGUUUCAGCAACCGUGAUGAUCUCUCCUGAAUAAGUGGGCGCUCUGUCAAAACCCCAAGGACCUGUUGUAAGAUACUAAGAACGGAUGCGCUCUGGAAAAGGACCUGGC